GCACCAGUAGUAUAAUCAGUACAAAUGCCUUCCAAGCAUUAAGUCUACAAAAUUGUAGUUGAUGUA
Molecule: transfer RNA, 66 nt
Filed under: Petrasma pervernicosa
Lineage: Eukaryota; Metazoa; Mollusca; Bivalvia; Solemyida; Solemyidae
Description: Solemya pervernicosa tRNA-Gly
Source: RNAcentral